UUCGCAAUGCCCGAAAGGGUGACGAAGCGACGCCGCGUGCGGGAAGAAGGCCUUCGGGUUGUAAACCGCUGUCGGGAGUUAGGAAGUGCAAGGAUGUUAAUAGCGUUCUUGCUUGACUAAGGCUCCGGAGGAAGCCACGGCUAACUCUGUGCCAGCAGCCGCGGUAAUACAGAGGCGGCAAGCGUUGUUCGGAAUUAUUGGGCGUAAAGAGCACGUAGGCGGCUGUGUAAGUCGGUUGUGAAAGCCUUCCGCUUAACGGAAGAACGGCAUCCGAUACUGCAUAGCUUGAGUGCGGGAGGGGAGAGUGGAACUUCUGGUGGAGCGGUGAAAUGCGUAGAUAUCAGAAGGAACACCGGCGGCGAAGGCAACUCUCUGGUCCGUAACUGACGCUGAGUGUGCGAAAGCUAGGGGAGCAAACGGGAUUAGAUACCCCGGUAGUCCUAGCCGUAAACGAUGGGCACUAAGUAGAGGGGUUUUA
Molecule: ribosomal RNA, 478 nt
Filed under: uncultured anaerobic ammonium-oxidizing bacterium
Lineage: Bacteria
Description: bacterial SSU rRNA
Rfam family: Bacterial small subunit ribosomal RNA
Source: RNAcentral